GUUCUCGCUUCGGCAGUACAUACACUAAAAAUUGGAAUGAUACAGAGAAGAUUAGCAUGGCCCCUGUGCAAAGAUGCCAUGCAAAUUCAUGAAGCAUUCCAUAUUUUU
This is a small nuclear RNA of Nycticebus coucang (slow loris), 108 nucleotides long. NCBI's taxonomy places the organism in Eukaryota, Metazoa, Chordata, Mammalia, Primates, Lorisidae. The record is from RefSeq and is a predicted model, not a curated record.